CUGGCAAAAUACAUUUUUACUUUGCUCCACAUACACACUAAUUUUCAGAAAACUGCCAAUUAUUGUCAUUUUUGCUUGGAGGCAUUGAAAGAAAUGCACAACAAAGACUUGUAUGUUUAAUACAUUACUCAACACUGCUGUUUUACCUGGUGUUGAUUUGGCACGAUUCAAAUGGGUUACAUUUUCAUUUAGUGGUUUUCAGAGUGCCAAGUCUGGAAGGCUGUUGCGCAACUCUGGGUUUUCAUGCACAGGAAAUCAUGAGACUUGAUCCUUUCGAAAAUCUAAAACAGUGCAGUUACUUUGACACAGUUUAUGCUGAUCAUUAAACUUUCUCUAGAGAGAGCAAAUUCGUCCAAGUAGAAAUUAUCACCAUUUAUCAUUAGAUGUGCUUCAGGAAAUUUGGAAUAGUGCCUUCUGGCUGAGGAGUAAAAUAACAUCAUAUCUGAUUAAUUUCAUCAUGUUCAGGGUCCGGAAAGGGUAAAUGGACCGUGAAAGAGAAUUUUUACUUAGCAAGUCUGAGCUAGCCUUUUCCAGACAGUGUGAAUGAGUGUGUCUCUGUCUCAUAUACAUUCAUUCUUUUGGCACAAGUCAAAGUGAACUUCAACUUUCUUGCUAAUGAGUCUUCUCCUUUGUUUCCUAGUACAAGAAAGUGAAACGGUGCUUUGUAUUCUCAUAUUUUCAAUGUUAGUCACUCUGACAUGCCAUAGAUGUUCCAAUAAUGAAAAGUGACCUUUUACAACUUUCUAACUGCUUUAAAUGAAAAGGAAAAACUUUAGAGGUUGUCCCCCUCCAAACUAUUUACAUUUUGAUUCACACAGAUAUCCACUCAGAACAUGAUGAUUGAUAGAUAUUGUUCAUUUGUAUUUCUCCCAUUAAACUAUUGAUUCGUUCAGUUCAUAGGAAAACUUGUCAUAGCGUGUUGUACAGACUCUCACAAAGCUGAUAGAAAUAUAUGAAUUUAAGACCAGUCUUAAAUCCUUAGAUAUAAUCCUUAACCCUUACUAAACACAUUUUUAUGUGCAUCACAUGCUCUAAGAAAAUUUUGCUUUUUUUUAUUUUUUAUUUUUAUUUUUUUUUUACAAAAGACCGGAACCAGUAAGUGUCACAUUCAUCUUUAUGCUUGUUUGCUUAGAGAGUGACAUUCUCAUUUUUGGCCUCUUUCUCUGUUUUUGUUUUACUUUAGUAUGAUGUGGGUUUUACUCUGUAGAUUUCAGCAUUUUGCUUUGUUGUCAUAGAUGUUUCAGAUGAUCAAAAUUCUUUAACAUCAGACAAAGAUAACUUUAGUGAAUUCAAAAUGUUCUCAAAGGAUGGUUUCAUUUAUGGAGGCAAAAUAGCUUUCCCAGCCUAUAUGGCCUUGUGUAAAAUUUAAUUGAGCCCUCGACCUAAUAACAGUCUGCGCUACCUUUGGUAGCAACAGCUGUUGAGAGAUUGAGUCCAGCUCGGGUUUGACUAUUGAUAUUCAAUUGUAUUAAAGUUAUUUAUAACAGCUAUCUGUCCACAUAGGACCAUAUUGGCAGACUUUAGAAGUCAAGUUUUAUUUGGUUAGAGGAGUGAAAGAUAAAAAGGACGAUGAUUACCUGACCCAAACUCUCACUUUUCAAAAAUCUUUAUGACAAGAAAUAUAAUUCAAAUAAUACUCUACCGUCCACAAUAACUCUGAUCUGUCUUAAUCAGAAUUAGGAGUAUUUUUAAACCCUCCUAAUGGUUGAUAUUUACAACCUAGUUUUUGUCUUUUUUUUUUAUUGUUGUUAAAAACUGUGAAGAUCAGUCUUAUAGGUUUUUAUGAAGUGUUCAGAGUGUGAGGACCAAACACAAGAAAUAAGCCAUCAAAUCAAUAUAUUUGUAAUUUAAUUUUAGGCUAAAUAACAUACAUACCUCCUCUUAAUCAAGCUCUAAUGUGCAACCCCUUUUUUGGAGGUUGCUCCCCUUAAAAAAAAUCUUCUUGGGGCAUCCAGGGUUUUUGCUCUGGCCCUGGUACUUUAUUCAUCCCCUGUUGGGAUGAAUAAAGUACUUCUAUUCUAUUCUAAAAGUCGUGAGGGGAAAGUCAAGAAUAUGGGUCACCUAAAUUUUCAUGCAGUGACAUGCUACUCUAGGGAAAAAUAAUAGAUGUCUUCUUUAGUUUGGUUAAUAAUAAUAGCAAUCAUUGUACGUAAUCCUUAAACCAUGUCAUGAGUGCUGAAUGACUCACCAAUAAACGAACGACGACUUGAAUGCGAAUUUUAAUUAGGUAUUUUAAAAAGAAAAAACUCCCGUGGAAAAACCCGUCAGGAAGUGUUGUCACACGAUAGUCUACAGCAGCAGCAGCAGCAGCAGAGAGAGAGAGAGGUAGACCAGUUCCUUCACACGGAUUUUACGGCAGUUCUGUUCGGCUGCCGAGGAGAAAGCGAGAAUAGAAACAUCUGUUGAUCAUCGGUAACCAAGCAUGGCCAUCAUGGUGGCUGCUGCGGUACUCAAGCUCUACGCCAUUGGAACGGCACUUUCCUUGCUGGCAUUUAUUUAUGGGAUUGCUGACUCCUUCGGGGGACUCAUGUACACUCAGAACCACCACUACAUCCACGAACUGAACCAACAGACACAGAGGCAGAUCCCCUCCGGGCCCCAGGUGCAAAGAACAUCUGUGUCUAGAAACAUUGGCUGACGAGGAACUUUGUGAUGUUGGAUCUUUGCUUCACUUUAAAGAGACUUGGACUGUACAUAUUUUUCUUCCCAGGGGAUGUUUUGUCUGUUUCUUUGUGUACUGUAAAAAAAAAAAUGUUGUGCAGCUAUUUUUCAGAGCAACUACAAAGCUGUAACAGAUGUAGCAGCACUACUGAACAAUUUGCACUAAAACUAGAAUGUUUUUGUAGCUGUUUCUGAAAUAAAAUAAUCUUUUUAAUCGUU
This is a long non-coding RNA of Gambusia affinis (western mosquitofish), 2880 nucleotides long. RefSeq lists it as uncharacterized. NCBI's taxonomy places the organism in Eukaryota, Metazoa, Chordata, Actinopteri, Cyprinodontiformes, Poeciliidae. The record is from RefSeq and is a predicted model, not a curated record. The transcript is spliced from 2 exons.